Lolium rigidum is the source of this 212-nucleotide long non-coding RNA. RefSeq lists it as uncharacterized. The transcript has 3 exons. Lineage: Eukaryota; Viridiplantae; Streptophyta; Magnoliopsida; Poales; Poaceae. The record is from RefSeq and is a predicted model, not a curated record.
UCAGGCGUGCGGGAGCCCUUGCGCUGGCCAUGGACAACCCUACACCGGCCAUGGUUGCAAAUUUGUAUACCACAACAGGUCCACGUAGUGACGGCCGGUUGAUGGAUCCAUCAAGCUGCCAUGCAUCCAUACUUUCGUGUACGCAGCAUGCAUGCCAUCCGAUCGACCACGGUGGAGAUAGCUAGCAGCCUAGCACCGUGAAAUGUAUGUGC